Long non-coding RNA from Equus caballus (horse), 3278 nucleotides. Lineage: Eukaryota; Metazoa; Chordata; Mammalia; Perissodactyla; Equidae. The record is from Ensembl.
GGCAUCUGUAUGUUUAGAGGUUUCUCCAGGUAAAAACGUCUGGUUCCUACUGAUGAAACCUAGAGAUUUUUCAGAUAUGUGGAUUGACCAAUACCCUGGUAAUCUGCCCAUCUUUCACAUUCCUAAGGGUGCUGUGCUCAGUAAGUCACCACAGAUUCCUUCAGUCUGGCACUCUGAUCCCCUUUCCCUGUCUCUGCAGCCUAUUAUAGUAAUUACUUUCUCCUGUUUCCCACACCAGGAUUCCAUUAUUGCCAUUGAAUCAGGACCCAAUUCCACAGCAUCAUCCCCUGCCCCAUCUCUGGCAUAGAGACACCCCUGCACCUCUGUAGAGCUUUCUAAGGUAGAGCUUUCUCUCACUAGGGCAUUUCUUGAACGGGGGAACAUCAUAUGAGUCUUCCAAAGUGGGGGUGGGGGUGGAACAGGGGUGGGGCUGGUUGGACACUUUGCAAGUAAUAGAUCCACUCCAACACUCCCACCUCCCCAAGCUUUUGGACUACUUGCUCUUCCAAGGGCAGUUGUGGCAUUUCAACCUCAUUUACUGGAUCAGUGAACCAGCUGAGGGAACUGUUCUGCAAAGGUUCUCAAGCUUGGUGCUUAUUAGAACCAUCUGGGGCCAUUAAAAAAUUCCUGAUGCCCAGGCUACACCUCAGAAAAAUUAAAAUCAGAAUCUCUGAAGGUAGAUCCCAGCAUCAUUGGUAUUUUUUAAAGGUUAUUCCAAUGUGCUGCCAAGGCUAAGACCACUGUGUUAGGCUUAGGAGAGUGUACCCAUAUCAAUACAUUCAAUCCCAUCCAAUCUUCUAUUUUGUGUUCCUUGAUCCAAUCUAUUUCUACCUGUGUUUCCCAGGAUCCUGCUUGUUAUGGACUGAAUUGUGUCAACUCAAAAUUCAUACAUUGAGGUCUGACCCUCAGAGUCUCACAAUGGGAUGGUAUUUGGAAAUAGGGUAUUUAAAAUGAGGUCUUAUGGGCGGGUCCUAAUCCAGUAACUGGUAUUCUUAUAAUAAGGGAAGAGAAAAAUGCAGAAACACACAGAAGAAAGACCUUGUGAAGACACAGGGAGAAGAUGGCCAUCUACAAGCCAAGAAGAAAGGCAUCAGAAUGUAACCAACUCUCUGGACACCUUGAUCUUGGACUACUAGCCUCCAGAACUAUUCGCCCUGAGCUAACAUCUGUGCCAUCUUCUUCUACUUUAUUUGUGGGAAGCCUGCCACAGCAUGACUUGAUCAGCCGUGCAUAGGUUUGUACCGGGUAUCCGAACCAGCGAACCCUGGGCUGCUGAAGCAGAGCACAUGAACUUAACCACUGCACCACUGGGCUGCCCGCUGGAAUCUUGUGGGAGAGUCUGCCUGACAGGAGGGAGGCAGCAGGAAACAAAUACCCCAAUUUCUCUCUCUUCCCUUGCUCCCAUCUCUGUCUACUUCCCCUCAGCCAAGAGGAAGACAGCUGAAGGAGAAUCCAAUGAUCCAGUCCACAGGGGUCAGCUUUCCAGGACACAGAGCCGGGGAAGAAUGGAUUUAGAGAGUGGGACUAAGGGAAACUAAGUAGCAGGGUGAGUCAUCCCCAUAUGAACCCUGGACCCCUGGUGCACACGACUUACCACUUAAUCUAGUUCAACCUUUCAAUUCAACCGUUUCUAUAACUCAACCAAAGCCAAAGAACUGGUCAGUGGUAGAGCCAGCAUUAAAACCAGUCUUUUGAUCCCACACGCUGUGCUCUUCCCGCCUCACCAACAGGACUCGAGGCUGACGAACUGAACGCGCCGUAGGAAACAGACCGGGAGGUGUGUUUGUGAGUUUCUCUCUCUGUUGUGGGGUUGUGGUAGGGGGAUUCUGGAAAUGAGGGAAGAAGUUCAGAGCUUGUUGCAAGAACCUAGAUAUGAAACUAUAAAACACAGGAGGGGGUGGAGGCCCCAGGAGUAGAAAUGAGGGAAUAGAUCGUGAAAACCUCUGAUAGGAAGAAUUGCUGUGAUUUCUUGAGGGGAAAGAGGGAUGAGGGUUUAUCAAAAGUGGAUAAUGCCUGAAGGGGGAGCCUAUUUGGGCGUGUGGGGAAGGAAGAAUUGACAUGUGUUUCCAGCUGCAGCACAGAGGGGAACAGCGGGGUUCUAAAUGCCAGAGAAACAGAGGUCAGCCCGGUCGCCUCAUUCCUGGAGGCGGCAGCCUCUGGCUGCUGAUUCUGGCAGCCAUGUACCUGUGGUUCUCUCUUGCUCUUUCACUUGGCACCACUUGUGACAACAGCAUACUCUGGAGGGAUACCUGGCCGGGGUUCAGGUGAAGUGAACGAUAAAGGUGACUGGCUCCCACAAGGCCAGUCUGUGCUGCUGACCUCCAUACACCAGAGUGGGAUCAGAUCCAGCUGGGCUUGAGUCUCAAUCCUGCCACCACUGUCCAGGCAACCUUGGACACACCCAGAAUCCCCUGGAGCCUUUGAGGCCUCAACUCUGAACCGGGAGUAAUAAAUAAUAUCCACCUUUUUAUCACUAUUUUAGACUUUCUAACCAAAUCAACUAACUUGCCACAAAUUUACAACAGUGACUUAAGGUGAAUAAAGAAAAUAUGGGCAUCUCCUUUCCCAGCCCAGGAAGCAGAAGAGUUUCAGCUUUUUUAUGAAAAGCACAAACUGAUGAAAAGAGGAGUUUGUUAAGUUAAAUUGUGAGACCAGCUCUGCGAGGAGAGAGCAAUCGCUAGUGUAAGAGAAGGUGGCAGCUUUAGUCAAAUAUAUUUCACUUCCUGAUAUGCUUCAAGAAUCAAUAAAUAUUAUCUUUUUCUAAGGUGUGCUUAGAUAACUGUUUUUACAUAGAAAUGGGAUGUUUCACCAGAUAAGCAUUCACACAUAUUUUUGGAUCCUCUGGAAUUCCUCCUCAAGAAGGAAAUUGUAGGUUUGUUAUUUGGGAAGCUUUCUUCACAGCGAAACUUAUCCUUUUAUAGUGAAUAUUCUCAAGAGACAGGUUGGAAAGUCCAACGUUUAGGCUAUUUCAAAGCUAUCCUACCUUUUUGCUCAGAAGUUGAAUGUGAAGGCAAUUCCCGCCCUCAGAAGGAAGAAUGAUAUUAAGACAUUCAAUUUUUUCACUUUCCACAUCUUUUCCAUUUAUUUUUGUUUCCCAUGAUAGACACUAAGUGGUCCAGAAAAAGCCAAAACUUGGAUUUCAAAUGAUCUCAAUAUCUUCCUGAGUUUUUAGCACCUAAAGUCAAUGGAUAGGCUGAUAUUUGUUAGUUCUGUAGUGUUCAAUGAAGCAAUUAUUACUGAAAAAUGGCAAGUUAACUGAAAAGCAAGUUAAAAUUCAU